Phoenix dactylifera (date palm) is the source of this 437-nucleotide non-coding RNA. Lineage: Eukaryota; Viridiplantae; Streptophyta; Magnoliopsida; Arecales; Arecaceae. The record is from RefSeq and is a predicted model, not a curated record.
GCGGAGGCCAUCAGUGGAAGGAAGAAACAUUCCAAGAGGUGUUAGGAUGCAACGAUCUUCUUCCCAUGUGGGUUUGACAGCAAAUGGAUAUCAGUAUCCAUGGUCAAUCAAGCUCGACAGGUCCAGCAUGUCCCUCAAAGACAGUGAAUGUGGUUCAACAAGCACCGUGCUCACCAAUACCAACUAUUGCACAUCUUUGGUGGGAUUUGAGGUUCACAACAAUAAGUCCUGAUUCUUAUCUCAGCAAUCUCGACCACUGCCAUUUGGAAUAUGUAACACUGGUGAAGGUAGAAGGUAAACAAAAAGUUGAUGUCCAGCUUCUGAAGGAGAAGGAAAUGUGCAGACAUGUAGUGAUGCAGAAAUUGCUGAAUCCCAGGAAUGCUUUUUCCCUCUCUGCAUGUUAGCCAUGAUUUUAAGUAUUCUAAUACCUUGUUUUA